This 3120-nucleotide ribosomal RNA is filed under the name Clavibacter michiganensis subsp. michiganensis. RNAcentral describes it as "23S ribosomal RNA". It matches the Rfam family "Bacterial large subunit ribosomal RNA". Lineage: Bacteria; Bacillati; Actinomycetota; Actinomycetes; Micrococcales; Microbacteriaceae. The record is from RNAcentral.
UUUCAAGAUUCUAAGAGCAAACGGUGGAUGCCUUGGCAUCUGGAGCCGAAGAAGGACGUAUAAAUCUGCGAUAAGCCUCGGGGAGCUGAUAAUAGAGCUUUGAUCCGAGGAUCUCCGAAUGGGGAAACCCCGCCAGGCCCUUUGGGUGACCUGGUGACUCCCGCCUGAAUAUAUAGGGCGGGUAGAGGGAACGUGGGGAAGUGAAACAUCUCAGUACCCACAGGAAGAGAAAGCAAAAGCGAUUCCGUUAGUAGUGGCGAGCGAAACCGGAAGAGGCCAAACCGAUCAUGUGUGAUAUCCGGUAGGAGUUGCAUGGUCGGGGUUGCGGGACUUUCCGUACAGUUCUACCGAGCUGUGAGGGCAAUGAGCGCGAUAUAGACGAAUGGUCUUGAAAGGCCAGUCAUAGAGGGUGCGAACCCCGUAGUCGAAAUGUCGUCGCCUGUCCGGAGAGUAUCCCAAGUAGCACGGGGCCCGAGAAAUCCCGUGUGAAUCUGUCAGGACCACCUGAUAAGCCUAAAUACUCCCAGAUGACCGAUAGCGGACAAGUACCGUGAGGGAAAGGUGAAAAGUACCCCGGGAGGGGAGUGAAAUAGUACCUGAAACCGUUUGCUUACAAACCGUUGGAGCACCCUUGUUGGUGUGACAGCGUGCCUUUUGAAGAAUGAGCCUGCGAGUUAGUGAUAUGUGGCGAGGUUAACCCGUGAGGGGCAGCCGUAGCGAAAGCGAGUCUUAAUAGGGCGUAUGAGUCGCAUGUUCUAGACCCGAAGCGAAGUGAUCUAUCCAUGGCCAGGUUGAAGCGACGGUAAGACGUCGUGGAGGACCGAACCCACUUCAGUUGAAAAUGGAGGGGAUGAGCUGUGGAUAGGGGUGAAAGGCCAAUCAAACUUCGUGAUAGCUGGUUCUCUCCGAAAUGCAUUUAGGUGCAGCGUUGCGUGUUUCUUGCCGGAGGUAGAGCUACUGGAUGGACGAUGGGCCCCAAAAGGUUACUGACUUCAGCCAAACUCCGAAUGCCGGUAAGUGAGAGCGCAGCAGUGAGACGGUGGGGGAUAAGCUUCAUCGUCGAGAGGGAAACAACCCAGACCACCAUCUAAGGUCCCUAAGCGCGUGCUAAGUGGGAAAGGAUGUGGAGUUGCAUAGACAACCAGGAGGUUGGCUUAGAAGCAGCCACCCUUGAAAGAGUGCGUAAUAGCUCACUGGUCAAGUGAUUCCGCGCCGACAAUGUAACGGGGCUCAAGCACGCCACCGAAGUUGUGGCAUUUAUAUUAUAGGCAGGCCUUCGUGGUCCAGCCGUAUGGAUGGGUAGGAGAGCGUCGUGUGGCCAGCGAAGCGGCGGUGUGAACCAGCCGUGGAGGCCACACGAGUGAGAAUGCAGGCAUGAGUAGCGAAAGACGGGUGAGAAACCCGUCCUCCGAAAGACCAAGGGUUCCAGGGCCAGGCUAAUCCGCCCUGGGUAAGUCGGGACCUAAGGCGAGGCCGACAGGCGUAGUCGAUGGACAACGGGUUGAUAUUCCCGUACCGAUGAAGAACCGCCCAAGACAAUCCAGUAAUGCUAAGUGUCUGAAUCCUUGAUUCGAUCCCUUCGGGGUGACGGUCUUGGCCUAGCACACGACCCUACGCUGGGGCGUUUAGCGUAUUAACAGGUGUGACGCAGGAAGGUAGCUGAGCCGGGCGAUGGUUGUCCCGGUCUAAGGAUGUAGGGCAGAAGAUAGGCAAAUCCGUCUUCUAUGUAGCCUGAGACCCGAUGGGUAGUCCUCACGGACGAAAUCAGUGAUCCUAUGCUGCCGAGAAAAGCAUCGACGCGAGGUUCCAAUCGCCCGUACCCCAAACCGACUCAGGUGGUCAGGUAGAGAAUACUAAGGAGAUCGAGAGAAUCGUGGUUAAGGAACUCGGCAAAAUGCCCCCGUAACUUCGGGAGAAGGGGGGCCUGAGGCGUGUAGGGAUUUACUCCUGAAGCGUUUGAAGGCCGCAGAGACCAGUGGGAAGCGACUGUUUACUAAAAACACAGGUCCGUGCUAAGUCGCAAGACGAUGUAUACGGACUGACGCCUGCCCGGUGCUGGAAGGUUAAGAGGAACGGUUAGCACGCAAGUGCGAAGCUGAGAAUUUAAGCCCCAGUAAACGGCGGUGGUAACUAUAACCAUCCUAAGGUAGCGAAAUUCCUUGUCGGGUAAGUUCCGACCUGCACGAAUGGCGUAACGACUUCCCAGCUGUCUCAACCGCGAACUCGGCGAAAUUGCACUACGAGUAAAGAUGCUCGUUACGCGCAGCAGGACGGAAAGACCCCGUGACCUUUACUACAGCUUGGUAUUGGUGUUCGGUGUGGCUUGUGUAGGAUAGGUGGGAGACUGUGAAGCUCGGACGCUAGUUCGGGUGGAGUCAUUGUUGAAAUACCACUCUGGUCACUCUGGAUAUCUAACUUCGAACCGUAAUCCGGUUCAGGGACAGUGCCUGGUGGGUAGUUUAACUGGGGCGGUUGCCUCCUAAAGAGUAACGGAGGCGCCCAAAGGUUCCCUCAACCUGGUUGGUAAUCAGGUGUCGAGUGUAAGUGCACAAGGGAGCUUGACUGUGAGACUGACAAGUCGAGCAGGGACGAAAGUCGGGACUAGUGAUCCGGCAGUGGCUUGUGGAAGCGCUGUCGCUCAACGGAUAAAAGGUACCUCGGGGAUAACAGGCUGAUCUUGCCCAAGAGUCCAUAUCGACGGCAUGGUUUGGCACCUCGAUGUCGGCUCGUCGCAUCCUGGGGCUGGAGUAGGUCCCAAGGGUUGGGCUGUUCGCCCAUUAAAGCGGUACGCGAGCUGGGUUUAGAACGUCGUGAGACAGUUCGGUCCCUAUCCGCUGCGCGCGUAGGAAAUUUGAGAAGAUCUAUCCCUAGUACGAGAGGACCGGGAUGGACGAACCUCUGGUGUGUCAGUUGUUCCGCCAGGAGCACCGCUGAUUAGCUACGUUCGGAACGGAUAACCGCUGAAAGCAUCUAAGCGGGAAGCCGGCUUCGAGAUGAGAUUUCCAUCCCUUUUAGGGUGAAGGCUCCCGGCUAGACUACCGGGUUGAUAGGCAGGAUGUGGAAGCGAGGACUAAAGACUCGCGGAGCUGACCUGUACUAAUAAGCCGAUAUCUUGAAAAC